This is a long non-coding RNA of Pygocentrus nattereri (red-bellied piranha), 1024 nucleotides long. RefSeq lists it as uncharacterized. The transcript has 3 exons. The record is from RefSeq and is a predicted model, not a curated record. Lineage: Eukaryota; Metazoa; Chordata; Actinopteri; Characiformes; Serrasalmidae.
UAAAUCUGUAUAAGUUUCUUCUUUGCUUCACUUUCUUCUCAGAAAGUUCAGCUUACCAUCAUCGUCUUCACCUCAGACGCCUUCUGCAGUGACAGCCAUGGUUCGCAGUGCAACUCUGAGUGUGUUCCUGCUCUGUUCCCUCUCUCUCUGUCUCAGAGGAACUGAAGCUCAACAUGUGGAUCAGAACACUUUACUUCACAUCAUCCGUCUCAUUGAGCAAUACAGUCCUGGUCCUAACAAGCAUAGCCAUCAACAUUCCACCUGAAAAGUGUGGUGCAGGGUUCCAACCUGAUGACACCUUCCUCGCAGGUGAUAAACCAGCUGAAGUGAAAUGUCACUUUAGCAAGAGAGAAAUAUAUCAAAGCGCGACGAUGAUUGGAGCUGUGCCAAAUAAAAAGCACCACUCUGAGUUCUGGCUGCUAAACCCAAAAAAACCAGAUGUCUCCCCCAUGAAGAAUCUCCUGAACAAAAGGAAAGAUGGCUGUGUGAUCUUCUACACGUACAACUCCCCCUGCCUCGGUACCUGUUUAAACGCUACAAAUACAGGCCGCAACAUUCUCACUGCCCUUGACAUGUUCACACAUCAUGAUGGCCCAAAAGCUUUUGUUUACAGUCAGGUUUUUGGCACUGAGGAUGCAGAACAGUAUCGGGAUGACUUCACAAAAGUAAAUGCAAAAAUUCGACUUUAUCGCUGUACUAACGAAACUGGGUGUCAUGCUUGCUUUAACGGUGGGACAUUUAAUCAGCCCUGUUUAAACAAUGGAACCCAUGAGACUGGAUUGGUCUGAUUGGUCUCCACAUGAAAGUGCACAGCACUGAUCAUUUCUAUUAAAUAAGCAUGAAUCAUUUCUCCGUUCUUGCUGCUUUAAACCAGUGUUUAUAUUUUUAUGGUGCUCAAAUGUCUUCAGGAUGAUGAACGUAUGUUUUCAAUAAAACUUUUGGCAAUCAGAAAAGAAUAGAUUUUGGUGCAGUGUGUAUCUGUGUAUCAGUUCUAUCAUUAAAAAAAUGCAAGUGUAAUGGAAAA